CGAAGAAAUUAGAACACCACCAUUGAGCACUGAACCAAUGAUGUUUGAAACGCUGACAUCAAACACUUGUUUCACGGAAUCAAGAACGCGUAUAUUGCUUCGGAACAUGCAUUGUUUUGAGGCUGAUGUCAUGAAUGAUGAAACUGAC
This is a non-coding RNA of Caenorhabditis elegans, 148 nucleotides long. The record is from Ensembl. Lineage: Eukaryota; Metazoa; Nematoda; Chromadorea; Rhabditida; Rhabditidae.